GUAGGGAAUCUUCCACAAUGGACGAAAGUCUGAUGGAGCAACUCCGCGUGAGUGAAGAAGGUCUUCGGAUCGUAAAACUCUGUUGUUAGAGAAGAACGUGCAUAAUAGUAACUGAUCAUGUAAUGACGGUAUCUAACCAGAAAGCCACGGCUAACUACGUGCCAGCAGCCGCGGUAAUACGUAGGUGGCAAGCGUUGUCCGGAUUUAUUGGGCGUAAAGGGAACGCAGGCGGUUUUUUAAGUCUGAUGUGAAAGCCUUCGGCUUAACCGAAGAAUAGCAUUGGAAACUGGAAGACUUGAGUGCAGAAGAGGAGGGUGGAAUUCCAUGUGUAGCGGUGAAAUGCGUAGAUAUAUGGAGGAACACCAGUGGCGAAAGCGGCUCUCUGGUCUGUAACUGACGCUGAGGUUCGAAAGCGUGGGUAGCAAACAGGAUUAGAAACCCGAGUAGUCC
RNAcentral lists this ribosomal RNA (450 nucleotides) under uncultured bacterium. Its description in RNAcentral is "partial 16S ribosomal RNA". It matches the Rfam family "Bacterial small subunit ribosomal RNA", at positions 354 to 796 of the family's 1533-position model. The record is from RNAcentral.